CCUACGGGUGGCAGCAGUGGGGAAUAUUGGGCAAUGGGCGCAAGCCUGACCCAGCAACGCCGCGUGAAGGAAGAAGGCUUUCGGGUUGUAAACUUCUUUUCUCAGGGCCGAAGAAAGUGACGGUACCUGAGGAAUAAGCCACGGCUAACUACGUGCCAGCAGCCGCGGUAAUACGGAGGAUGCGAGCGUUAUCCGGAUUUAUUGGGUUUAAAGGGUGCGUAGGCGGGCUUUUAAGUCAGCGGUAAAAAUUCGGGGCUCAACCCCGUCCGGCCGUUGAAACUGGGGGCCUUGAGUGGGCGAGAAGAAGGCGGAAUGCGUGGUGUAGCGGUGAAAUGCAUAGAUAUCACGAAGAACUCCGAUUGCGAAGGCAGCCUACUAAACUGCCACUGACAUUGAUGCUCGAAAGUGUGGGUAUCAAACAGGAUUAGAUACCCUGGUAGUC
This 442-nucleotide ribosomal RNA is filed under the name uncultured bacterium. RNAcentral describes it as "partial 16S ribosomal RNA". It matches the Rfam family "Bacterial small subunit ribosomal RNA", at positions 338 to 795 of the family's 1533-position model. The record is from RNAcentral.